UCACCUGGCUGGGACACUAGACACUACAUAUAUCUAGAGGUAGGUUCACCUGGCUGGGACACGACAUAGAUCUAGAGGUAGGUUCACCUGACUGGGACACUAGACACUACAUAGAUCUUGAGGUAGGUUCACCUGGCUGGGACACUAGACACUACAUAGAUCUUGAGGUAGGUUCACCUGGCUGGGACACUAGACACUACAUCGAUCUAGAGGUAGGUUCACCUGGCUGGGACACUAGACACUACAUAGAUCUAGAGGUAGGUUCACCUGGCUGGGACACUAGACACUACAUAGAUCUAGAGGUAGGUUCACCUGGCUGGGACACUAGACACUACAUAGAUAUAGAGGUAGGUUCACCUGGCUGGGACACUACAUAGAUAUAGAGGUAGGUUCACCUGGCUGGGACACUAGACACUACAUAGAUCUUGAGGUAGGUUCACCUGGCUGGGACACUAGACACUACAUAGAUCUAGAGGUAGGUUCAACUGGCUGGGACACUAGACACUACAUCGAUCUAGAGGUAGGUUCACCUGGCUGGGACACUAGACACUACAUAGAUCUUGAGGUAGGUUCACCUGGCUGGGACACUAGACACUACAUAGAUCUUGAGGUAGGUUCACCUGGCUGGGACACUAGACACUACAUCGAUCUAGAGGUAGGUUCACCUGGCUGGGACACUAGACACUACAUAGAUCUAGAGGUAGGUUCACCUGGCUGGGACACUAGACACUACAUAGAUCUAGAGGUAGGUUCACCUGGCUGGGACACUAGACACUACAUAGAUCUAGAGGUAGGUUCACCUGGCUGGGACACUAGACACUACAUAGAUCUAGAGGUAGGUUCACCUGGCUGGGACACUAGACACUACAUAGAUCUAGAGGUAGGUUCACCUGGCUGGGACACUAGACACUACAUCGAUCUUGAGGUAGGUUCACCUGGCUGGGACACUAGACACUACAUAGAUCUAGAGUAGGUUCACCUGGCUGGGACACUAGACACUACAUAGAUCUAGAGGUAGGUUCACCUGGCUGGGACACUAGACACUACAUAGAUCUAGAGGUAGGUUCACCUGGCUGGGACACUAGACACUACAUAUAUCUAGAGGUAGGUUCACCUGGCUGGGACACUAGACACUACAUAUAUCUUGAGGUAGGUUCACCUGGCUGGGACACUAGACACUACAUAGAUCUAGAGGUAGGUUCACCUGGCUGGGACACUAGACACUACAUAGAUCUAGAGGUAGGUUCACCUGGCUGGGACACUAGACACUACAUAGAUAUAGAGGUAGGUUCACCUGGCUGGGACACUAGACACUACAUAGAUCUAGAGGUAGGUUCACCUGGCUGGGACACUAGACACUACAUAGAUAUAGAGGUAGGUUCACCUGGCUGGGACACUAGACACUACAUAGAUCUAGAGGUAGGUUCACCUGGCUGGGACACUAGACACUACAUAGAUAUAGAGGUAGG
Molecule: long non-coding RNA, 1469 nt
Organism: Oncorhynchus tshawytscha (Chinook salmon)
Lineage: Eukaryota; Metazoa; Chordata; Actinopteri; Salmoniformes; Salmonidae
Exons: 3
Source: RefSeq, a predicted model, not a curated record